UGGGGAAUAUUGGACAAUGGGGGGAACCCUGAUCCAGCCAUGCCGCGUGUGUGAAGAAGGCCUUAUGGUUGUAAAGCACUUUAAGCGAGGAGGAGGGUACUGGUAUUAAUACUACCAGGUACUGGACGUUACUCGCAGAAUAAGCACCGGCUAACUCUGUGCCAGCAGCCGCGGUAAUACAGAGGGUGCGAGCGUUAAUCGGAUUUACUGGGCGUAAAGCGUGCGUAGGCGGCUAAUUGAGUCGGAUGUGAAAUCCCCGAGCUUAACUUGGGAAUUGCAUUCGAUACUGGUUAGCUAGAGUGUGAGAGAGGAUGGUAGAAUUCCAGGUGUAGCGGUGAAAUGCGUAGAGAUCUGGAGGAAUACCGAUGGCGAAGGCAGCCAUCUGGCCUAACACUGACGCUGAGGUACGAAAGCAUGGGGAGCAAACAGG
Molecule: ribosomal RNA, 430 nt
Filed under: Pseudomonadota bacterium
Lineage: Bacteria; Pseudomonadati; Pseudomonadota
Description: Proteobacteria bacterium partial 16S ribosomal RNA
Rfam family: Bacterial small subunit ribosomal RNA
Source: RNAcentral